RNAcentral lists this transfer RNA (77 nucleotides) under Escherichia coli. RNAcentral describes it as "tRNA-Met". It matches the Rfam family "tRNA". Rfam says of the family: Transfer RNA (tRNA) molecules are approximately 80 nucleotides in length. The record is from RNAcentral. RNAcentral also lists the same sequence under 3 other names. Lineage: Bacteria; Pseudomonadati; Pseudomonadota; Gammaproteobacteria; Enterobacterales; Enterobacteriaceae.
CGCGGGGUGGAGCAGCCUGGUAGGUCGUCGGGCUCAUAACCCGAAGGUCGUCGGUUCAAAUCCGGCCCCCGCAACCA